RNAcentral lists this unclassified non-coding RNA (316 nucleotides) under plant metagenome. RNAcentral describes it as "partial contains 5.8S ribosomal RNA, internal transcribed spacer 2, and large subunit ribosomal RNA". The stretch from base 1 to 105 matches the Rfam family "5.8S ribosomal RNA", at positions 50 to 154 of the family's 154-position model. The record is from RNAcentral.
GAAAUGCGAUAACUAGUGUGAAUUGCAGAAUUCCGUGAAUCAUCGAGUCUUUGAACGCACAUUGCGCCCCCUGGUAUUCCGGGGGGCAUGCCUGUCCGAGCGUCAUUGCUGCCCAUCAAGCACGGCUUGUGUGUUGGGUCGUCGUCCCCUCUCCGGGGGGGACGGGCCCCAAAGGCAGCGGCGGCACCGCGUCCGAUCCUCGAGCGUAUGGGGCUUUGUCACCCGCUCUGUAGGCCUGGCCGGCGCUUGCCGAACGCAAAUCAAUCUUUUUCCAGGUUGACCUCGGAUCAGGUAGGGAUACCCGCUGAACUUAAGC